AGAUUGAACGCUGGCGGCAUGCCUUACACAUGCAAGUCGAACGGCAGCACGGGGGCAACCCUGGUGGCGAGUGGCGAACGGGUGAGUAAUGCAUCGGAACGUGCCCAGUAGUGGGGGAUAACUAGUCGAAAGAUUAGCUAAUACCGCAUACGACCUAUGGGUGAAAGCGGGGGAUUCGCAAGAACCUCGCGCUAUCGGAGCGGCCGAUGUCUGAUUAGCUAGUUGGCGGGUAAAAGCCCACCAAGGCUUCGAUCAGUAGCUGGUCUGAGAGGACGACCAGCCACACUGGGACUGAGACACGGCCCAGACUCCUACGGGAGGCAGCAGUGGGAAUUUUGGACAAUGGGCGCAAGCCUGAUCCAGCCAUGCCGCGUGCGGGAAGAAGGCCUUCGGUUGUAAACCGCUUUUUGGCAGGAACGAAACGGCGCGAGCGAAUAUCUCGCGUUAAUGACGGUACCUGCAGAAUAAGCACGGCUAACUACGUG
This 485-nucleotide ribosomal RNA is filed under the name uncultured soil bacterium. RNAcentral's name for it is "bacterial SSU rRNA". It matches the Rfam family "Bacterial small subunit ribosomal RNA", at positions 26 to 507 of the family's 1533-position model. The record is from RNAcentral.